Molecule: ribosomal RNA, 279 nt
Filed under: uncultured Sandonidae
Lineage: Eukaryota; Cercozoa; Glissomonadida; Viridiraptoridae
Description: partial 18S ribosomal RNA
Rfam family: Eukaryotic small subunit ribosomal RNA (bases 95-279)
Source: RNAcentral
GACUUCUGGUUUAAUGCACCUGGCCCGCGGCCCACAAGGCCUGUGAGUGCCGGCGCGCGUUUACCAUCCUUCCAGCAACCUUAACUGGGCGGCUGGAACUGGAUCUUUUACUUUGAAAAAAUUAGAGUGUUUAAAGCAGGCGUUUGCUCUGAAUACAUUAGCAUGGAAUAAUAAUCUAGGACUUCGGUUCUAUUUUGAGGGAUAGUUGGGGGUGCUAGUAUUGGCCGGUCAGAGGUGAAAUUCUUGGAUUCGGUCAAGACUAACUUAUGCGAAAGCAUU